CGCAUCGAUGAAGAACGCAAGGAAAUGCGAUUAGUAAUGUGAAAUUGCAGAAUUCAGUGAAUCAUCGAAUCUUUGAAAGCACCUUGCGCUCCUUGUUCCGGGGAGCAUGCCUGUUUGAGUGUCAUGAAAUCUUCAACUUGCAAGCUCUUUGCGAG
Molecule: ribosomal RNA, 155 nt
Filed under: Ganoderma sp. 4 TRK-2010
Lineage: Eukaryota; Fungi; Basidiomycota; Agaricomycetes; Polyporales; Polyporaceae
Description: 5.8S ribosomal RNA
Rfam family: 5.8S ribosomal RNA (bases 1-124)
About the family: 5.8S ribosomal RNA (5.8S rRNA) is a component of the large subunit of the eukaryotic ribosome.
Source: RNAcentral